CUUCCCCGUGAUGAGACGGUUUUCACAGACCUGUACUGAGUUCCGUGAGGAUGGAAAGCUCUGAGGAGAU
Molecule: small nucleolar RNA, 70 nt
Filed under: Sorex araneus (European shrew)
Lineage: Eukaryota; Metazoa; Chordata; Mammalia; Eulipotyphla; Soricidae
Description: Small nucleolar RNA SNORD25 (ENSSARG00000016642.1)
Source: RNAcentral